This 68-nucleotide transfer RNA is filed under the name Calacta lugubris. Its description in RNAcentral is "tRNA-Trp". The record is from RNAcentral. Lineage: Eukaryota; Metazoa; Arthropoda; Insecta; Hemiptera; Plataspidae.
AAAGCUUUAAGUUAUAAUAAACUAUUAUCCUUCAAAGUUAAUAAUGCAUAACAUUUAUGCAAGCUUUA